GAUGAAAUCCAUAAAUUAAAAACUGUUUGUUGAUUUCUCUUCUAAAAAUCUUAGAAUUGUUGUUCUAUCAGUGACCAAACGCCCAAAUGUAGCAUCAUUUGCAGAAAUCCUUCCAACAUUAUCAUCAAAUUUCCCUUCAACGCUUUGAUAAAUGCUUGUUUUUGUCUUUUUUGUUGUUUCAAAGGUGGCGAGCUGGAGGGGAAUCCUCCAUCUGGAUUCCUGAGCUCAGGUGAAGCAGGGAGCCGCUCUGACAGUCAGCAUAGCUCCAAAUGGAUUCAUCCAUCCAGAUGAAGUGGUUCCUCUGGAAACCAACAAAACAUUGAAAGAAGGAUCAGCUUCAACACCUCACGGUGGACGGACGGGCUUGUGAUGGAAGCCAGGUGACCUCCAGAGAAACCGAGACCUCCUGACAAAAACACUAAACAGAAAUAAAA
RNAcentral lists this long non-coding RNA (434 nucleotides) under Oryzias javanicus (javanese ricefish). RNAcentral describes it as "lncRNA (ENSOJAG00000020886.1)". Lineage: Eukaryota; Metazoa; Chordata; Actinopteri; Beloniformes; Adrianichthyidae. The record is from RNAcentral.